Long non-coding RNA from Sebastes umbrosus (honeycomb rockfish), 945 nucleotides. RefSeq lists it as uncharacterized. The record is from RefSeq and is a predicted model, not a curated record. The transcript is spliced from 7 exons. NCBI's taxonomy places the organism in Eukaryota, Metazoa, Chordata, Actinopteri, Perciformes, Sebastidae.
AUAAUUUAAUCCUCGUGUCAAUUAUUACAGUAUUCAAAUGUUCAAGUUUCAUCUUUUGGGUUGCAGAUGUGUAUUAGUAUCCUACUGGUCACUGUUAAGACUAUGCAGCCAGUGCAGAUAGCCGAUACAGAUCCUUGUUUGGGUUUAUUGUGCGUCGAUCUGUUGGUAAUGCCUUAGAGUUCCAGUAGGGGGUUCAAUCAACAGAAGACUGAUAAUGACAGCUGCAGGUGUGUUCACCUCUUUCUCCCUCACCUGUUGAAGGGUCAGAAAUCAACUCAUUGGCUGAGCUCAAUCAGGUUCCCUGUCAUGUGACACAUUUCCUCUCAUGUGACUUCAGACCAGGAAGUUGUUCUCCUGUCUAGCAGAGAUGUCUGCUCCCAUCUGCAAACACCCUCGGCUUCAAAUGAAGAUAACCUUCCUCUAAAGCCCCUCGUCCCUCUCCGUACCUUCAGAUGUCCCGACCUUCACGGAGAGUUCAAACAAACCUGCCCAAAGUUACGAGGGAGGAGAGGCGAGCCGGAGGAGGAAGAGGAGGAAGAGGAGCGUGAGAGCAGCAGAGCUGACGUCCAGACGUAUUCUGAGGGGACUUUUAAAGGAAACGGCUCGGACAUUGUGAAAGAACAGCGCUCCGCUCUCCUUAACACCAUUCGACGGAAACCUUUUUCUGGGACCAUAGAGAGCCUCGGGAGGUGAUGAAGGUGCUGAAGGUGCUGAAGGUGCGAGCACGGGCGAUUGUUCAUGUGCAACUUUUAACAAGGAGAAGGCGACGAAACAACGUGCAUCAGUCGAUUUUUUGUCAGCUUGGUGUGAUGGCAGCGGAGGAACAGGGAGGCCCACCGUACCGUACCUGUAGACGUUGAUGGGCUCGGGGUUGGAGCUCCACACUCUGAGGCUCUCCUGGAUGACCAGCUGGAUUUUCGGGAGGUAGGACUCCAAGGCCUCGUG